GACGAACGCUGGCGGCGUGCUUAACACAUGCAAGUCGAACGGAAAGGCCCUGCUUUUGUGGGGUGCUCGAGUGGCGAACGGGUGAGUAACACGUGAGUAACCUGCCCUUGACUUUGGGAUAACUUCAGGAAACUGGGGCUAAUACCGGAUAGGAGCUCCUGCUGCAUGGUGGGGGUUGGAAAGUUUCGGCGGUUGGGGAUGGACUCGCGGCUUAUCAGCUUGUUGGUGGGGUAGUGGCUUACCAAGGCUUUGACGGGUAGCCGGCCUGAGAGGGUGACCGGCGACAUUGGGACUGAGAUACGGACCAGACUCCUACGGGAGGCAGCAGUGGGAAAUAUUGCACAAUGGGCGGAAGCCUGAUGCAGCAGCGCCGCGUGCGGGAUGACGGCCUUCGGGUUGUAAACCGCUUUCGCCUGUGACAAAGCGUGAGUGACGGUAAUGGGUAAAGAAGCACCGGCUAACUACGUG
RNAcentral lists this ribosomal RNA (468 nucleotides) under uncultured bacterium. Its description in RNAcentral is "partial 16S ribosomal RNA". It matches the Rfam family "Bacterial small subunit ribosomal RNA", at positions 28 to 507 of the family's 1533-position model. The record is from RNAcentral.